UGUUGAAUCUAUAUUCUUCAAAUGUGCCU
RNAcentral lists this non-coding RNA (29 nucleotides) under Rattus norvegicus (Norway rat). Lineage: Eukaryota; Metazoa; Chordata; Mammalia; Rodentia; Muridae. The record is from RNAcentral.